AGUGAACGCUGGCGGUAGGCCUAACACAUGCAAGUCGAACGGCAGCACAGUAAGAGCUUGCUCUUACGGGUGGCGAGUGGCGGACGGGUGAGGAAUACAUCGGAAUCUACUUUUUCGUGGGGGAUAACGUAGGGAAACUUACGCUAAUACCGCAUACGACCUACGGGUGAAAGCAGGGGAUCUUCGGACCUUGCGCGAUUGAAUGAGCCGAUGUCGGAUUAGCUAGUUGGCGGGGUAAAGGCCCACCAAGGCGACGAUCCGUAGCUGGUCUGAGGGGAUGAUCAGCCACACUGGAACUGAGACACGGUCCAGACUCCUACGGGAGGCAGCAGUGGGGAAUAUUGGACAAUGGGCGCAAGCCUGAUCCAGCCAUACCGCGUGGGUGAAGAAGGCCUUUGGGUUGUAAAGCCCUUUUGUUGGGAAAGAAAAGCAGCAGGUUAAUACCCCGCUGUUCUGACGGUACCCAAAGAAUAAGCACCGGCUAACUUCGUG
RNAcentral lists this ribosomal RNA (492 nucleotides) under uncultured bacterium. RNAcentral's name for it is "partial 16S ribosomal RNA". It matches the Rfam family "Bacterial small subunit ribosomal RNA", at positions 29 to 507 of the family's 1533-position model. The record is from RNAcentral.